RNAcentral lists this long non-coding RNA (207 nucleotides) under Sorghum bicolor (sorghum). RNAcentral describes it as "long non-coding RNA (SBIC_LNC012873)". Lineage: Eukaryota; Viridiplantae; Streptophyta; Magnoliopsida; Poales; Poaceae. The record is from RNAcentral.
CUCAAAAGUAUGCAACCACUUAUAUCCACCACAUUCACUAUGUGCUACUUCUGUUUCCUGGAAGUACCACCCACAUCUACACACUACACUCCGUGAUGUUUCUAUCCUGGAGACACGCACCUAUGCUGCUCCUAUCCUAGGAGUACACAUUCCUUCACUCACCCACAUACAUUCCACAUCCACUUAGAAAAUAUUCUACUCCUACAC